CAGCAGCCGCGGUAAUACGUAGGGUGCAAGCGUUAAUCGGAAUUACUGGGCGUAAAGCGUGCGCAGGCGGUUAUGUAAGACAGUUGUGAAAUCCCCGGGCUCAACCUGGGAACUGCAUCUGUGACUGCAUAGCUAGAGUACGGUAGAGGGGGAUGGAAUUCCGCGUGUAGCAGUGAAAUGCGUAGAUAUGCGGAGGAACACCGAUGGCGAAGGCAAUCCCCUGGACCUGUACUGACGCUCAUGCACGAAAGCGUGGGGAGCAGACAGGAUUAGAUACCCCUGUAGUCCCUGUCUCUUAUAC
Molecule: ribosomal RNA, 301 nt
Filed under: uncultured bacterium
Lineage: Bacteria
Description: partial 16S ribosomal RNA
Rfam family: Bacterial small subunit ribosomal RNA
Source: RNAcentral